RNAcentral lists this ribosomal RNA (253 nucleotides) under uncultured bacterium. Its description in RNAcentral is "partial 16S ribosomal RNA". It matches the Rfam family "Bacterial small subunit ribosomal RNA", at positions 524 to 776 of the family's 1533-position model. The record is from RNAcentral.
UACGUAGGGUGCGAGCGUUAAUCGGAAUUACUGGGCGUAAAGCGUGCGCAGGCGGCGCGUUAAGACAGGUGUGAAAGCCCCGAGCUUAACUUGGGAAUUGCGCUUGUGACUGGCGUGCUGGAGUUCGGGAGAGGAUGGUGGAAUUCCCAGUGUAGAGGUGAAAUUCGUAGAUAUUGGGAAGAACACCGAUGGCGAAGGCAGCCAUCUGGACCGACACUGACGCUGAGGCGCGAAAGCGUGGGGAGCAAACAGG